CCCAGAGGUAUUGAUAGGUGAACAUCAACACGUGUUACACCAACCUGCGCAGAUGCGCAGGUUUUUUUU
Non-coding RNA from Izhakiella sp., 69 nucleotides. The record is from Rfam. NCBI's taxonomy places the organism in Bacteria, Pseudomonadati, Pseudomonadota, Gammaproteobacteria, Enterobacterales, Erwiniaceae.